UUCUAGUUCCAGAGUUCAGAGGCAUGACAU
RNAcentral lists this non-coding RNA (30 nucleotides) under Mus musculus (house mouse). Lineage: Eukaryota; Metazoa; Chordata; Mammalia; Rodentia; Muridae. The record is from RNAcentral.